UGAUAGAUUAUUUAAUCCAUUUAUUUUUUUGAUAAUACUUAGGAUCAAACUUGGAAGUUCAUUCAUGCUAGACAAGUUCUCUGCCACUGAACUACGUACACAGUCCUUUUUUAUUUUUAUCUUGAGAUGGAGUCUUACUAAAUUGCAGAAGCUAGACUUGUACUUGCCAUCCUCCUGCCUCAGCUUUCUAAUUAGCUGGGAUUACACGUGGUGCCACCAGGCCCAUGGAUCCCUUUAUUUUUAAUACUUCACCCCAUGAUGUGGGCAUUGUAUCACCUCACAUCAUCACAAGAAGAAGAGUGAUUACAUGAUAACAAGAUAUUUUGAGGCCAGCCCGGGGGGAGGCUCACGGGAACGCAGCACAGCUUGGCCAGAGUGGGCGACUAAGGACCACCAGGGAGGGGAGUGUCGGGAUGGCCCAUCCGCGGACCAGGGAAUACAAAGCAGGCAACCUGGUCUUUGCCAAGGUGAAGGGCUACCCGCACUGGCCAGUGCGGAGU
Molecule: long non-coding RNA, 500 nt
Filed under: Marmota monax (woodchuck)
Lineage: Eukaryota; Metazoa; Chordata; Mammalia; Rodentia; Sciuridae
Source: RNAcentral